AUUGAACGCUGGCGGCAUGCCUUACACAUGCAAGUCGAACGGCAGCGCGGGAGCAAUCCUGGCGGCGAGUCGCGAACGGGUGAGUAAUACAUCGGAACGUGCCCAAUCGUGGGGGAUAACGCAGCGAAAGCUGUGCUAAUACCGCAUACGAUCUACGGAUGAAAGCAGGGGAUCGCAAGACCUUGCGCGCAUGGAGCGGCCGAUGGCAGAUUAGGUAGUUGGUGAGGUAAAGGCUCACCAAGCCUUCGAUCUGUAGCUGGUCUGAGAGGACGACCAGCCACACUGGAACUGAGACACGGCCCAGACUCCUACGGGAGGCAGCAGUGGGGAAUUUUGGACAAUGGGCGAAAGCCUGAUCCAGCCAUGCCGCGUGCAGGAUGAAGGCCUUCGGGUUGUAAACUGCUUUUGUACGGAACGAAACGGUCUUUUCUAAUAAAGAAGGCUAAUGACGGUACCGUAAGAAUAAGCACCGGCUAACUACGUG
Molecule: ribosomal RNA, 484 nt
Filed under: uncultured bacterium
Lineage: Bacteria
Description: partial 16S ribosomal RNA
Rfam family: Bacterial small subunit ribosomal RNA
Source: RNAcentral